Molecule: ribosomal RNA, 301 nt
Filed under: uncultured bacterium
Lineage: Bacteria
Description: partial 16S ribosomal RNA
Rfam family: Bacterial small subunit ribosomal RNA
Source: RNAcentral
CAGUAGCCGCGGGAAUACGGAGGGAGCUAGCGUUGUUCGGAAUUACUGGGCGUAAAGCGCGCGUAGGCGGUUACUCAAGUCAGAGGUGAAAGCCCGGGGCUCAACUCCGGAACUGCCUUUGAAACUAGGUGACUAGAAUCUUGGAGAGGUCAGUGGAAUUCCGAGUGUAGAGGUGAAAUUCGUAGAUAUUCGGAAGAACACCAGUGGCGAAGGCGACUGACUGGACAAGUAUUGACGCUGAGGUGCGAAAGCGUGGGGAGCAAACAGGAUUAGAUACCCGGGUAGUCCCUGUCUCUUAUAC